GAAGGUGGCUCAGUGGUAGAGUGCUUGCUUUGCCUGCAGGAGGCCUUGGGUUCGAUUCCUCAGCACUUCA
Molecule: non-coding RNA, 70 nt
Organism: Dipodomys ordii (Ord's kangaroo rat)
Lineage: Eukaryota; Metazoa; Chordata; Mammalia; Rodentia; Heteromyidae
Source: Rfam